UACGGGGGGGGCAAGCGUUGUUCGGAAUUACUGGGCGUAAAGGGUUUGUAGGUGGCUUGCUAAGUCACACGUGAAAUCCCUCAGCUUAACUGGGGAACUGCGUGUGAAACUGGCGAGCUUGAGGACAGGAGAGGAACGCGGAAUUCCAGGUGUAGCGGUGAAAUGCGUAGAUAUCUGGAGGAACACCGGUGGCGAAGGCGGCGUUCUGGACUGUUUCUGACACUGAUAAACGAAAGCCAGGGGAGCAAACGGG
Molecule: ribosomal RNA, 253 nt
Filed under: uncultured bacterium
Lineage: Bacteria
Description: partial 16S ribosomal RNA
Rfam family: Bacterial small subunit ribosomal RNA
Source: RNAcentral